UGGGGAAUCUUGCGCAAUGGACGAAAGUCUGACGCAGCCACGCCGCGUGAGUGGAAGAAGGCCCUUCGGGUUGUAAAAGCUCUGUCGGGGCGGGACGAACAUCUUUUGGGUUAACAGCCCCAGAGGACUGACGGUACCGCCAAAGGAAGCACCGGCUAACUCUGUGCCAGCAGCCGCGGUAAUACAGAGGGUGCAAGCGUUGCUCGGAAUCAUUGGGCGUAAAGGGUAGGUAGGUGGUCUCAUUUGUCUGGGGUGAAAGCCUUGAGCUUAACUCAAGAAGUGCCCCGGAAACGGUGAGACUGGAGUCUUGGAGAGGGUCGUGGAAUUCCCGGUGUAGCGGUGAAAUGCGUAGAGAUCGGGAGGAACACCAGAGGCGAAGGCGGCGACCUGGACAAGCACUGACACUCAACUACGGAAAGCGUGGGGAGCAAACA
RNAcentral lists this ribosomal RNA (434 nucleotides) under uncultured bacterium. Its description in RNAcentral is "bacterial SSU rRNA". It matches the Rfam family "Bacterial small subunit ribosomal RNA", at positions 355 to 774 of the family's 1533-position model. The record is from RNAcentral.